This 334-nucleotide ribosomal RNA is filed under the name uncultured bacterium. Its description in RNAcentral is "bacterial SSU rRNA". It matches the Rfam family "Bacterial small subunit ribosomal RNA", at positions 1 to 334 of the family's 1533-position model. The record is from RNAcentral.
GUGAGUAGUUCAGAGUUUGAUCCUGGCUCAGGAUGAACGCUGGCGGCGUGCUUAACACAUGCAAGUCGAACGGAGUUACUCUUCGGAGUAACUUAGUGGCGAACGGGUGAGUAACGCGUGAGGAACCUGCCUUUCAGUGGGGGACAACAGUUGGAAACGACUGCUAAUACCGCAUAAUACUGCGAAGCGGCAUCGCUUUGUAGUCAAAGAUUUAUUGCUGAAAGAUGGCCUCGCGUCUGAUUAGCUAGUUGGUGGGGUAACGGCCCACCAAGGCGACGAUCAGUAGCCGGACUGAGAGGUUGACCGGCCACAUUGGGACUGAGAUACGGCCCAG